CAGGCUUAACACAUGCAAGUCGAGGGGCAUCAGGAAGAAAGCUUGCUUUCUUUGCUGGCGACCGGCGCACGGGUGAGUAACACGUAUCCAACCUGCCCUUUACUCGGGGAUAGCCUUUCGAAAGAAAGAUUAAUACCCGAUAGCAUAAUGAUUCCGCAUGGUUUCAUUAUUAAAGGAUUCCGGUAAAGGAUGGGGAUGCGUUCCAUUAGGUUGUUGGUGAGGUAACGGCUCACCAAGCCUUCGAUGGAUAGGGGUUCUGAGAGGAAGGUCCCCCACAUUGGAACUGAGACACGGUCCAAACUCCUACGGGAGGCAGCAGUGAGGAAUAUUGGUCAAUGGGCGCUAGCCUGAACCAGCCAAGUAGCGUGAAGGAUGAAGGCUCUAUGGGUCGUAAACUUCUUUUAUAUAAGAAUAAAGUGCAGUAUGUAUACUGUUUUGUAUGUAUUAUAUGAAUAAGGAUCGGCUAACUCCGUGCCAGCAGCCGCGGUAAUACGGAGGAUCCGAGCGUUAUCCGGAUUUAUUGGGUUUAAAGGGAGCGUAGGUGGACUGGUAAGUCAGUUGUGAAAGUUUGCGGCUCAACCGUAAAAUUGCAGUUGAUACUGUCAGUCUUGAGUACAGUAGAGGUGGGCGGAAUUCGUGGUGUAGCGGUGAAAUGCUUAGAUAUCACGAAGAACUCCGAUUGCGAAGGCAGCUCACUGGACUGCAACUGACACUGAUGCUCGAAAGUGUGGGUAUCAAACAGGAUUAGAUACCCUGGUAGUCCACACAGUAAACGAUGAAUACUCGCUGUUUGCGAUAUACAGUAAGCGGCCAAGCGAAAGCAUUAAGUAUUCCACCUGGGGAGUGCGCCGGCAACGGUGAAACUCAAAGGAAUUGACGGGGGCCCGCACAAGCGGAGGAACAUGUGGUUUAAUUCGAUGAUACGCGAGGAACCUUACCCGGGCUUAAAUUGCAGUGGAAUGAUGUGGAAACAUGUCAGUGAGCAAUCACCGCUGUGAAGGUGCUGCAUGGUUGUCGUCAGCUCGUGCCGUGAGGUGUCGGCUUAAGUGCCAUAACGAGCGCAACCCUUAUCUUUAGUUACUAACAGGUCAUGCUGAGGACUCUAGAGAGACUGCCGUCGUAAGAUGUGAGGAAGGUGGGGAUGACGUCAAAUCAGCACGGCCCUUACGUCCGGGGCUACACACGUGUUACAAUGGGGGGUACAGAAGGCAGCUAGCGGGUGACCGUAUGCUAAUCCCAAAAGCCUCUCUCAGUUCGGAUCGAAGUCUGCAACCCGACUUCGUGAAGCUGGAUUCGCUAGUAAUCGCGCAUCAGCCACGGCGCGGUGAAUACGUUCCCGGGCCUUGUACACACCGCCCGUCAAGCCAUGGGAGCCGGGGGUACCUGAAGUACGUAACAGCAAGGAUCGUCCUAGGGUAAAACUGGUGACU
RNAcentral lists this ribosomal RNA (1430 nucleotides) under uncultured organism. RNAcentral's name for it is "16S ribosomal RNA". It matches the Rfam family "Bacterial small subunit ribosomal RNA". The record is from RNAcentral.